Molecule: long non-coding RNA, 382 nt
Organism: Poecilia latipinna (sailfin molly)
Lineage: Eukaryota; Metazoa; Chordata; Actinopteri; Cyprinodontiformes; Poeciliidae
Exons: 3
Source: RefSeq, a predicted model, not a curated record
UAGCUUUGAUAGCUCUGAUAGCCUUUGUUAGCUUUGAUAGCUCUGAUAGCCUUUGCUAGCUUUGAUAGCUCUGAUAGCCUUUGUUUUGAUAGCUCUGACAACCUUUGAUAGCUUGUGUCACUCACUUUGUCCCUGUGAGGGAUCGUUGAAUCUCUGUCAGAGAUUUGUUGUUUGUUUUUGUGUACCCUGUUCUGAAAGUCUAUUUUUGUUUAGUACCUUUUUGUUGUAAGUCCCUACAUUUUGACUAUUAAUUUUUACCCUCUUUAUUUUGUUGAACCCAAACAAUAAACCUCUAAAUUGUUAAACCUUACCACCUAGGUUUCUUUAAUGUUACUUCCCUUUCCCCUGGCCAAGCCGGGUCGUAACAAUUGUUCUUUAAUUU